Non-coding RNA from Octopus sinensis (East Asian common octopus), 75 nucleotides. NCBI's taxonomy places the organism in Eukaryota, Metazoa, Mollusca, Cephalopoda, Octopoda, Octopodidae. The record is from the annotation of a RefSeq genome assembly.
GCCUCGGUGGUGUGUAGCGGUUAUCACGCUCGCCUAACACGCGAGAGGGUCUGGGUUCAACUCCCAGUCGAGGUA